Molecule: ribosomal RNA, 253 nt
Filed under: uncultured bacterium
Lineage: Bacteria
Description: partial 16S ribosomal RNA
Rfam family: Bacterial small subunit ribosomal RNA
Source: RNAcentral
UACGUAGGGACCGAGCGUUGUCCGGAAUCAUUGGGCGUAAAGCGCGUGUAGGCGGCUCGGUAAGUCCGCUCUGAAAGCCCGGGGCUCAACCCCGGGAGGCGGGUGGAUACUGCUGAGCUCGAGUCCGGAAGAGGAGUGUGGAAUUCCUGGUGUAGCGGUGAAAUGCGCAGAUAUCAGGAGGAACACCAAUGGCGAAGGCAGCACUCUGGGACGGUACUGACGCUGAGACGCGAAAGCGUGGGGAGCAAACAGG